Molecule: ribosomal RNA, 214 nt
Filed under: uncultured bacterium
Lineage: Bacteria
Description: partial 16S ribosomal RNA
Rfam family: Bacterial small subunit ribosomal RNA
Source: RNAcentral
UACGAAGGGGGCUAGCGUUGCUCGGAAUCACUGGGCGUAAAGGGCGCGUAGGCGGCGUUUUAAGUCGGGGGUGAAAGCCUGUGGCUCAACCACAGAAUGGCCUUCGAUACUGGGACGCUUGAGUAUGGUAGAGGUUGGUGGAACUGCGAGUGUAGAGGUGAAAUUCGUAGAUAUUCGCAAGAACACCGGUGGCGAAGGCGGCCAACCUGGACCA